CCUACGGGAGGCUGCAGUGGGGAAUAUUGGACAAUGGGGGGAACCCUGAUCCAGCCAUGCCGCGUGUGUGAAGAAGGCCCUCGGGUUGGAAAGCACUUUCAGUGAGGAAGAACGCCUGGUGGUUAAUACCCAUCAGGAAAGACAUCACUCACAGAAGAAGCACCGGCUAACUCCGUGCCAGCAGCCGCGGUAAUACGGAGGGUGCGAGCGUUAAUCGGAAUUACUGGGCGUAAAGCGCGCGUAGGUGGCUUGAUAAGCCGGUUGUGAAAGCCCCGGGCUCAACCUGGGAACGGCAUCCGGAACUGUCAAGCUAGAGUGCAGGAGAGGAAGGUGGAAUUCCCGGUGUAGCGGUGAAAUGCGUAGAGAUCGGGAGGAAUACCAGUGGCGAAGGCGGCUUUCUGGACUGACACUGACACUGAGGUGCGAAAGCGUGGGUAGCAAACAGGAUUAGAUACCCUUGUAGUC
This 465-nucleotide ribosomal RNA is filed under the name Vreelandella stevensii. RNAcentral's name for it is "partial 16S ribosomal RNA". It matches the Rfam family "Bacterial small subunit ribosomal RNA", at positions 338 to 795 of the family's 1533-position model. Lineage: Bacteria; Pseudomonadati; Pseudomonadota; Gammaproteobacteria; Oceanospirillales; Halomonadaceae. The record is from RNAcentral.